Molecule: RNA transcript, 1946 nt
Organism: Beta vulgaris subsp. vulgaris (sugar beet)
Lineage: Eukaryota; Viridiplantae; Streptophyta; Magnoliopsida; Caryophyllales; Amaranthaceae
Gene name: F-box protein CPR1
Exons: 3
Source: RefSeq, a predicted model, not a curated record
UUUAGAAAUUAUUUUCUCACAAAUACCCCCUCUUUCCCCAUCUCAUCUUUUGGGCUUAUGGGCUGCAAAGAUAAUCCAUGGUAUCUUCAAGAGCUCAAUUAGGGAAGUCACUUCGUUUAUAGCGAUUAUAAAUUCAUUAUUCACGAACUUUAUUUACCCGUUUCGAUCUCGUCGGUAAUUUCUUCACUUCGUCAGUUUUUUCAGUUUCUUCAAUUCCGCAAUUAGAUUUUGCAAUUGAAUUCCAAGUUUCGAUCUUUUCCCAUAAUAAUAAUCUUUUUCAACAAGAUGGAAACAAUGGAAACUCUUCCUAUUGAUAUAAUCACUGAUAUUUCUCUUAAAAUUACCUGCAAAACCACUUCUUCGCUUCAAAAGCGUAUGUAAAUCAUGGUAUGAUCAAAUCAACGGCCUUGAUUUCGUCAAAAGCCAUUUAAAACGAUCAUUAACCAUUCAAUCUAAUCUCUAUUAUGUUUAUAGAAAAUUUGUUCAUCACAUUGCUGAUUUUGAUUGUUUUGAUAAUGCUGUUGAGUUGAAUUACCCUUGUAACUUGUAAGAGACAAGAUGAUGGUGACGCUAAGAUAAUAGGAUCAUGUAAUGGGUUGCUUUGUUUUUGGAAUUAUGAUUUUUAUAAUUUCAUUGUGUUUUUAUUCAAUCCCACCACUCGAACUUACAAAGUGAUCCCUGUUUUACCAAGGCCUUCGUGUGUUGCCGGUCUCACUAACAAGUUUAUUCAUGGGUUUGGUUAUGAUAGUGUGUAGGAUGACUACACAUGUGUUAGGAUUUCUUCAGUGUGCGGGGAGGGGGCUGUCUCGUACUCUCGUAUAGCGAACUUAUGGUUUAUAGCUUGAAAUCGGACUUGUGGAUGAGUACUUGAUCAUGUCCCUAUUCGCUCCACGUGUAGGCAUGGAGAAGGUGUAUUGGUUAAUGAGAAGUUACAUUGGGCUGAUGAUAUUAGGCUUCAUGAUCUGACACUUCUUAUAGUUAGCUUCGAUCUUAGUACACAUAGUUUUGGUGAGGUGCCAGGGCCAGUGCUAGUGCCACUGGAUGACAUUGAUGAUGUGUCUUCCUAUAUGUCGAUAAAUGUGGGGGUUUUAGAUGGGUGUUUGUGUAUCUUGGUAAACCACCGAUAUGUAUCCGAGAUAAUGGUAAUGAAGGAAUACGGGGUGGUUGAAUCGUGGAGUAAGCUACUUCGAGUUUGGAAAGGUGAAUCCGUCAAUGAUAUAGAGAGGACUACUGCCUACACCAGAAGCAAGAAGGAAUUGCUUAUAAGGCUUGUCCUUCAUAGGUUCGCUUCUAUCAACUUAGAAGAUAUGGUGAUUGAAGGAUCAAUUCCUAUUCAUGAUCCUUCAAGGCAACAUGAUGUUCAUGUUUGCGUGGAGAACCUUCUUAUGUUGGAUUGCCUUAGUGACCUUCCUGAGAGCGAGCAACAAGGAGAAAACACGAGGAAGAGGAGACGGAUGAGAAGAGGAAGGAGGAGAAACUGAUCACUGACAAUCUGACAUAAGGCUUCUUGAAAUGGAUUCACAAUGGAAAGAAUAAAGAUGGAGAAACUUGCAGCUGAUAAUAUCCUUGAUCAAUUAGGUGACUGAAGACAUCUAUGUCUUUGGGCUCAAAAUGUUAUGAAUGGAAGAGCGGUGCGGAGAUCUUUCUUUCUGUCAUCAAAUCGAGUCCGUUAUUGGGACAUUGUUCCAAAUCAUAAGACUAUCAGAUUCUUCUGCAGUAUGUGAAGAUCCUUAAUACCUGGAAUCAGCUUAUUUUAUUGAUUUAAAGGAUUGUUUAGUAGGUGAUAGUAUAUGAUAAUAUUAGUAAUAAUCAUAUAUCUGAGUAAGAAUAGUUUCAAUCCAACGUUCAAUUGUUCUUCGUAAUGUGACUCUUCCUAGGCAUGCGUGUUUGUUAAAAGAAUUUCUUUACCAUAUACUAUAUAUGACCCACUUGUUAAUGUUCAUUAA